This 470-nucleotide ribosomal RNA is filed under the name uncultured bacterium. Its description in RNAcentral is "bacterial SSU rRNA". It matches the Rfam family "Bacterial small subunit ribosomal RNA", at positions 28 to 507 of the family's 1533-position model. The record is from RNAcentral.
GAUGAACGCUGGCGGCGUGCCUAACACAUGCAAGUCGAACGGACUUUAAAUGAAGCCUAGCGAUUUUAAAGUUAGUGGCGGACGGGUGAGUAACGCGUGGGUAACCUGCCGUAUACAGGGGGAUAACACUUAGAAAUAGGUGCUAAUACCGCAUAAGCGCACAGUUUCGCAUGGAACAGUGUGAAAAACUCCGGUGGUAUACGAUGGACCCGCGUCUGAUUAGCUAGUUGGUGAGGUAACGGCUCACCAAGGCGACGAUCAGUAGCCGGCCUGAGAGGGUGAACGGCCACAUUGGGACUGAGACACGGCCCAAACUCCUACGGGAGGCAGCAGUGGGGAAUAUUGCACAAUGGGGGAAACCCUGAUGCAGCGACGCCGCGUGAGUGAAGAAGUAUUCGGUAUGUAAAGCUCUAUCAGCAGGGAAGGAAGAAAUGACGGUACCUGACUAAGAAGCACCGGCUAAAUACGUG